UAAUUUUCCAACUCUUCUCAUCAACCAACUAGCAUUUGCAAAUACUUUCUUUGUCCACACAAACAAAACAACCUUCCAUUUUACAAAGUAAAAGAGAAAGAUGAGUGUAGAAAUUUUAGAUGGUGCCACCAUUGUCCAGUUACUUGAAGAUGAAGAAGCAUUUAAUGACACUGUAGGUAACCGAUUCGCUCGCCUUGACACAGACAAUGAUCUCUUAUGACGAGAUGUUAAAGGAGCUCCAGGGUCUAAGAGUUUUCGAAACACACCUUCGGUAUUGAUGUGGAGUCUGAUCCAGAUGAGGCUUGCCCGUGUUUAUGCAUCGUUGUUCAUACAAUUCGACCACAAUUUAAAUGGCACGUUGAUCUGGAAGAAUUCAAGACAGAAACAAAGCAGAUGAUGCUUGCAAUGGCAGAUGGAAUGGGUUUCAUGCCAAUUCAAAUGGUUUUGGAAGAAGACAGCAUCCUUAAGAAAGCAGUUGAAAGAGAGUACAAUAAAGUCGCAGCUUAAUUGCUGCUAUGAUAUCAUACCUAAGAUUUAACAAAUUCUGCAAGUAUUGUAGUAUUGUAUAACAUUCUGUUUGUUGUUCUUAUUGUUACCUUUGAAACUUGUUAACACUGUUUUGUUAUGGAUUCCAAAUGUAUUCAAGAAAUAAACUACUUUAAUCUGAGUAUUUAAUAAGUAUGUUUGAAGUUAUGAAGAAUUCGACAUAGAGCGCAAACAAUAGAUUCCAGUUCCUCAAUUUCCAACAAGUACUACCACUCAACAUCUAAAGCAUCUAACAAAAGUAAAUCAUACAUUUUAUACCAAGUGAUAUUAGCUUGUUCUCGAAAUCAAAGGUUACCUACAUGUUUUCCAUGGUUUAUCCUAAGUUACAAGAAUGUAUAGCUCUCACCAGUCUGAAUGAAUGAAAGGAUGUUUUCACCAAACAACUCAACCAAAGUGACGUCAGUCUCUUUUAAAGUGAAAUCUAAAUUUACAUUUAAGAUAGAUUUAAUUUGGUGUACAUUUAAAUUUCAUUUGGCUUGAAUGUGUAAAUAUAAGCAAAACUGACUUUUUAGUUUAAACAGAAUUUUAAUGUAAUCAUUUUCAGUAAAAAAAGUUAGUUACAAUUUUUCUCCCUUCUCUCAUCUUCAUCAUCUUCAUCUUUUUCUUUCUUAUACACUAACCAUUGAUAUCUAGAAUUUCGAUUGGGAUCUUUGGAAAACACUAAGGGAAACACGAGUGAACGUGAGGCGUGUGUGAUUGAUUUCGAUUCUGAAAUUCAUAGUGAAUUAAAGUUCGAAAUCGUAACAUAAUCACAUUUCUUGAUUAUGAGAAAUAGGAAAACACGAGUGUUUGGUGAGAUUUAAGUGAAGUCUUGUACAAGAUCGAAGAUGAACGUUGGAAACGGUAGCUUGAAUACGAAGCUUUCAGUCUUUGAUGGAAAGUAUUGGAAUCAAUGGAUAAUUUAGAUGCGUGUGUUGUUUGGCACUCAAGAUGUUUUUGAUCUCAUCAAUGACGAUUAUGCAUCGGUUGCAGCAGAUGCAACUGAAAGACAAAGGAACACAUAUAAAGAGAUAAGGAAGAAGGAUCAUAAAGCUCUGUUCUACAUACUACAAAUAACACAUGUCAUGUCAUAUGCGAAAUGAUUUCACUUUGGUUACAAUGACGAGUUAACGAAUGGUGACAUGAAAAGUGGGAACUUGACCCCUCGGUUUAAAAACAUAUGAGGGGUUAGUUUAAAUAGUCAUAUGUUCAAACCCCAGCAAUAACUUUUUUAUAUUUUCCAAACUAGCAUCAUAUACCUCUCAAUUUAAUAACAAAAUCGAGGGGAAAGAUAUAUAUAUAUAUAUAUAUAUAUAUAUAUAUAUAUAUAUAUAUAUAUAUANNNNNNNNNNNNNNNNNNNNNNNNNNNNNNNNNNNNNNNNNNNNNNNNNNNNNNNNNNNNNNNNNNNNNNNNNNNNNNNNNNNNNNNNNNNNNNNNNNNNNNNNNNNNNNNNNNNNNNNNNNNNNNNNNNNNNNNNNNNNNNNNNNNNNNNNNNNNNNNNNNNNNNNNNNNNNNNNNNNNNNNNNNNNNNNNNNNNNNNNNNNNNNNNNNNNNNNNNNNNNNNNNNNNNNNNNNNNNNNNNNNNNNNNNNNNNNNNNNNNNNNNNNNNNNNNNNNNNNNNNNNNNNNNNNNNNNNNNNNNNNNNNNNNNNNNNNNNNNNNNNNNNNNNNNNNNNNNNNNNNNNNNNNNNNNNNNNNNNNNNNNNNNNNNNNNNNNNNNNNNNNNNNNNNNNNNNNNNNNNNNNNNNNNNNNNNNNNNNNNNNNNNNNNNNNNNNNNNNNNNNNNNNNNNNNNNNNNNNNNNNNNNNNNNNNNNNNNNNNNNNNNNNNNNNNNNNNNNNNNNNNNNNNNNNNNNNNNNNNNNNNNNNNNNNNNNNNNNNNNNNNNNNNNNNNNNNNNNNNNNNNNNNNNNNNNNNNNNNNNNNNNNNNNNNNNNNNNNNNNNNNNNNNNNNNNNNNNNNNNNNNNNNNNNNNNNNNNNNNNNNNNNNNNNNNNNNNNNNNNNNNNNNNNNNNNNNNNNNNNNNNNNNNNNNNNNNNNNNNNNNNNNNNNNNNNNNNNNNNNNNNNNNNNNNNNNNNNNNNNNNNNAUAUAUAUAUAUAUAUAUAUAUAUAUAUAUAUAUAUAUAUAUAUAUAUAUAUAUAUAUAUAUAUAUAUAUAUAUAUAUAUAUAUAUGAAGGAAUGAAUAAAAUGUCUGCAUUACGAGUCAAACAACUCUUGAUUCACAAGAUGAACCGGUGUUACAACGUCUCAAAGGGGUAAAAGCGGGGCCCAAGAGAAAGUAUUGUUGUGUACAAGGAAACAGUAUAUCACUAGAUGGAGAACAGGCAAUUCGAGAUCAAAUAAGAAUAGUAUAUUGGAUCUGAUCUUUUUGAAGAAGCUUGAAAAUUGGCGCACAUGUGGCAGUCAUAUGCGAUAUAAAUCUUGAGAUAUAGUUCAAGCGGCCGAGAAAAUCUCUAACUUGCUUGCAAUGUACAUUGUUAUUUUUUGAACUUUGAUUUAAGUGUGCAAAUAUCAAUUGUUUUGGCUAUAAAUAGAGACCCUUGCCUUCAGAAAUGAGGACCCAGUCCGCCAGCUUUGAAUCCCAAUCUCCAAAACUCUCUCAUUCAAAGGAUAACCUUGAGAAUUUCCAAUGAAAAUUGAGUUUGAAUCUCCACUGAUAUAUACACGGAUUGAUAUAUAUAUAUAUAUAUAUAUAUAUAUAUAUAUAUAUACUCAGUACAUUGUUUAUACAAAAUAUUAAAGUAAAGAUGUUGUUCUCCAUCGUCAUCGUCAUCGAUGUCGAUGGAGAAUAAAUAUUGGAUAUCUUAGAGAAGAGCAAAUGUUGGGGAUCCUCAUUUCAUUGAUCUUGAGAAAGAUCAAAUGUUGAAUGUAAUAUAUUCUCUAUGACUUUUGCAUUCAUUUUUUUCUGAUAUAAAUAAAAAAAAGUUAGAUAAAUAAAAUAAAUAUUUAGUUAUAUGAUUUUUUAAGAACACAAACAUUGAACCCAAAUAAUUUAUGCACUUGCAAACUAAAUACAGUACUCUCAUCAACCACGUAUUAAAAACCUAAAUUUCUCUGAUCUUGCAAUCUAUCACAUUGAUACAACCCUCAAAUUAAACAUAGAGAGUUUCAAAAUGUUUGAGUUUCUUAUGGAUUUACUAAUAUUCAUAAUGUUUUUAUAAUGAGGUUUUUAGAUUUCACGAGGAUCACUAAUACAAUGUCUUGAGCGUUGAUACUCAUUAAAUGGACAACAAAUAUUUGUUUAAGGAAGUUGAGGAAACACACUUAUGAUUUACCUCAAUAAAAUAUUUUACCUCGGUUAUUACUAAAACCCAAGGUAAAAUCUGUUUCUUUUUAGAUAAAAAUAAAAUAAAAUAUAUUUCAACCCAAAGUUCACAUACCUUUCGGUUUCUAAUAAAAACUGAGGGGAUUUUUUUUUUAUAUUUACAUUGCUUACACAAAAUAAUAAAAUAAAUUGUUUAAACAAAUCAAGAGUAUGACAAUGAAUUCUUGGAGAACAACAUAUAUUUUCAAAUUUCUGAUAAGUUAUUUGUUCCAACUAAGAGAAUUCUUUUUUCUAUACUUGCAAUUCAUCCCAAAGAGAUUUCAUUAUCUUGAGAAAAUGUUUUUCAUGGCAAAUGCUAUCACAUGACAGAGAACAUGAAAGAGAACGUGAAAGAGAUAUGGAUGAUUGUUUUUCGGAAUAAAUUUCUCAAUAUUGUCAACCGAGGAAAGAAAUAAAUUUCUCAAUAUUUUCUUUGAUUGAUAACAUAUGAAGUUUAUUACAAAACAACAACAACAUCAACAUCAUUAUGUGAGAUAGAUUGCACGGGCCGAAAAAAUAUUUUGUUCAAUAUUGAAGAAUAUUGAACAUUUUUUUCUAUCCUGCAAUCUAUCCAAGAGAAUGAUGCGUAAGACUUUAGAGCGGCUACAUAUAAGUUAGGUUUAUGGUAAAAAUCUUAUUAACGAGUGCUUUUAUAGUAAAAUAUGAUAAUCUAAUCCCUCGGUUAUUAAAUAUAACCGAAGGAAUAGAUCAUUAAUUUAAAAAUUAAAAAUUAAAUAAAAAUAAAAACACCACUUUUAAAGAAAUAUAAAUAUAAACUACUGAUGUUAGGAUUCAAAGCAUGUCCUGAAAUAUUUUCCCCUCGGUUUUAUUUAGAAACUGAGAGAAUAUGUGGUAUUUAAUUAAAAAGUAAUAUAAAACAUGACGCGUCUUGACCUUUUACCUCGUUUUUUGGUAGGGUGAGGUGAAAUUUUUGUCAUGACAUAUAUUAUUUGUAGUGGUGAUAUCCAUCAGUGCGUGGAUGUGAAUGUGUUUGAGAAGAUCGUUGAUUCGAUGAAGAAGAAGGUUGCAUGGGACACACUGGUAUGAUGCUAAGACGGUGAUGCAUCCAUGAAGAAGGUGAAAAUCCAGUCUCUACAUAAGAAGUAUGAGAAUCUCAACAUGAAGAACAACAAGAAGGUACCUGAUUACAUCUCUAGAGUGAUUCUGAUCACAAAUGAGAUGAAAUCUUGUGGAGAGACUCUUUCUGAACAAGUAAUCAUUGAAAAUUUACUGACAUCACUUACUCCUAAGUUUGAUUAUAUUGUUAUGGCAAUUGACCAUUCUAAGAAUAUGAGCACCAUGAGAAUUAAAAAAUUGCAAAGCAUUUUAGAGGCAUAAGAGUUGCGUCUGACUAAGAAAACCUCUGAAAGAAAGGUAGAGCAGGAUCUGAAGGAAUCUUCUAGAAAUAAAAUCAGAAUAAGAAAAUAUAUCCAGAGGAGAGUCUGAUGAUGAACCUGUUCUAUUGACGAAUUAUGAAUAUGAUUGUGGAUAUUUGGUAGACUGGUGUUAUACGGACACUGACUGCUCAAAUCACCUAACUGGAAACAAACAAUGGCUUAUUAAUUUUGAAUCUAGGAAGAAGACAAAAAUCAGAUGUGUUGAUGAUAAGUAUUUGAAUGUUGAAGGAAUGGAAAAUGUCAAGGUUAGAGUGAGGAAUGGAAAAUCUAUUAUGAUCAAGGAUGUUUGGUAUGUUCCUGUCAUGAAGAGCAAUCUGAUGAGUGUAGGUCAACUAAUUGAGAAAGGUUUCUCAGUUACUAUGAAGGACGAUAUCUUGAAGUUGUAUGAUUCUGAUCAGAAGUUGAUUAUGCAGUCUGAACAGGGAAGCAAUAUAACAUUUAAUGUGAAUGUGUAAACAGAUGACACUAAAUGCCUUAGUGUAGAAGGUGACAAUGAGUUAUGGCAUAAAUAUUUGGGGCAUCUGAAUUUCAGAAGCUUAGGGCAUCUGAGUUAUAAGAAGUUGGUACAUGGCAUUCCUAAUGAUGUGAAGCCUGAGAAGUCAUGUGAGAUAUGCAUGAAAGGAAAGCAACCAAGAUUUCCAUUUUCAUCAGAAGUAUCCCUAAGAGCAAAACAUGCUUUAGGAGUAGUUUAUUAUGUUAUAUGCAGACCAUUUCUAGUACCUUCACUUGGAGGGAACACGUAUUUUUUGUCAUUUAUGGAUGAGUUCAUAAGAAUGACAUGGGUAUCCCUCAUAAAGUUCAAACACGAGGUGUUUGCUAAGUUUCAGAAGUUCAAGGUAAAGGUUGAAAAACAGAAUUGUCAGAAGCUAAAAAUUCUCAAAAUUGAUGGUGGAGGUGAGUAAAACUCUACAAAGUUCAAGAAUUUCUGUGAGGAGAAUGGAAUUGAGCAUGAGGUUACUUCUCCAUACACUCUUCAACACAAUGGUCUUGUUGAAAAAAGAAAUAAAACUUUGCUUGAUAUGACAAGGAGCAUGCUAGAGGAGAAUAAGCUCCCUCACACCUUGUGGGGAGAAGCUGUUGCCACUGCAUCAUAUGUGCUCAACAGAUGUCCAACCAGAAGCUAAAGGAAAUUAUUACUCUUAAGAAGUGGAGUGAAGAUAAGAAAAAUGUGAGCCAUCUGAAGGUGUUUGGUUUUGUUUGUUAUAAACAUGUUCCAUAUAAUAAGAGAAGGAAGUUGGACGACAGAAGCAGAGUCGUGUUGCUUGUAGGGUACCAAAGUACAGGUGCUUAUGAGAUCUAUUGUCCUGUCACUAACAAAGUUGAAUUUAGCAAAGAUGCGAUUGUGAAAGAAUCAUAAGCAUGGGAUUGGAACACGUCUCAAUCCAACUCUGGUGCAGUGUUAACACAUGCGUUAACUUCUGAAAAUAUCUCAGACUCUGAAGAAGAAUCUUCCUCUAAAGAAGAUUCUGAGUCUAAAGAUGACUUAGAGUCUGAAUGUGACUCUGAUGCUGAAGGUGAGUCUGAAGGCGAAUCUGACUAUGAAGGUCAAUCUGAUUCAGAUCUAGAUUCUGAUGAUGAUCAAGACUCUAGUGGUAAUCAUGCCUCCAAAGGUGAUACAACCUCUGAAGGUAGUCCAUCAUCUGAUAUUGUUCCAGCAUCUAAAGAUAUUUUGAACAAGUUCAUAGACCACAAAGAAUCAUACAAAUGCCAAGAAGAUUUGCAGAGUUUGAUAUGUUGCAAGAUACUGAGAUACACUCUGAAUCGGAAGUCAUUAAGUGUCCCAUGUUGCCAGACUUUGAACCAGUUAGUACUAAAUAAGCUCUCAAGAAGAAAGUGUUGUUGAAGGCCAUGAAAGAAGAACUUAAGGCUAUAUAAAGAAACAAAACUUGGGAGUUAUCUGAGCCUCCAAAGGACAAGAAGUCCAUCAGUGUUAGAUGGGUUUACAAGGUGAAACUAAAGAUAGAUGGAUCAAUUAGAAAACACAAAGCCAGGUUAGUAGCUAGAGAAUUUAUACAGAAAUCUGGAUUAGACUACUUUGAAGUGUUUGCACCGGUAGCUAGACAUGAAACAAUCAGACUGGUCAUUGUUAUAGUUGCUAAUAGAAAUUGGCCUCUGAUAUAUUUAGAUGUGAAAUCUGCAUUUCUAAAUGGUCUUUUACAAGAGGAAGUUUAUGUAUCACAACCUCAUGGAUUUGUGAAAAAGAAUCAGGAAGGGAUGAUGUACAAGUUACAUAAAGCCUUGUAUGGGCUGAAACAGGCUCAUAGAGCCUGGAAUCUAAAAAUUUAUUCAUUUUUCAAGCUUUAAGGAUUCAGGAAAGGUGAGAUGGAGUAUGGUAUUUAUGUUCAGCAUACAUCUGAUAUCAAUAUGAUUCUGGUGUGUCUCUAUGUUGAUGAUAUAUUGCUAAUAGGGAGUUGUUCAUAUGAGAUAGCUAAGUUCAAAAAGGUGUUGAUGAAUGAGUUUGAGAUGACUGAUCUAUGAAAUAUGACAUAUUUUCUAGAGAUGGAGAUUAUGUACUCAGAUAAGGGUAUAAUCUUACAUCAUUUGAAGUAUGAACUUGAGCUUAUGAAGAUAUUUGAGCUAACAAACUACAAGUCUGCAAUCACAUCUGCUGAAACAAAUCACAAGCUUGAUUUUGAUGUUGAGGGUGAUGAUGUAGAUGCUACCACUUUUAAACAGUUUGUGGGCUCAUUGAGAUAUCUCUGUAAUACCAUACUUGAUAUCUACAGUUGGAAUGAUGAGUGUGUUUAUGAACAAAUCAAAGUGAUCACAUCAUCAAGUUGCUGUCAGGAUACUGAGGUAUAUUAAGGGGACUCUUAAGUAUGACUUUUGUUCCCUUCUGGUGUUGAAUCUGAUUAAGAUCUGAUGUGUUAUUUAGACUCCGAUUGGUGUGGAGACAUAGUUGACAGAAGAAGUUAUGGAUAUUUCUUUAAGUGUGUGGAAGGUCUUAAUUUUUGGUGCUCCAAGAAGCAACCAGUGGUUGUUUUGUCAACCUGUGAAAUUGAGUACAUUACAGGUGUUUUGACUGCUUGUCAAACUGUGUGGAUUCUAAACUUGUUGCAUGAUUUGAAGAUCAAGGUGAGCAAGCCUAUGAAAUUGAUGGUUGAUAAAAAAAUCAGUUAUAAGCAUUGUCAAGAAUCCAAUAUUGCAUGGAAGAAGCAAUCACAUUGACACAGAGAUAAUUUUUUGAGAAAUCAGGUUCAGAAUGUGGUGGUUGAAAUUGUUUAUUGUAGCACUCAGAAACAGCUGACAGAUGCUUUAACCAAAGUUAUCAAGACAAAACAUUUUAUUCAAUUGAAGGAUAAAAUUAAUGUUGUUAAUAUUAGUCUUAGAAUGUGAUUUUACUUUAAGACUUGAUAUAACUACUUUAAUUACUUUUAUGACCAUAAUGAAAUUAAAUAAUAUAACUCUUUCAUCAUAUGCUUCACUACAUUACUUGGUUAGUUUCCACCAUAUAUUUGUGUACUUACUACCGAUAUGGAACAAUUUAUAAACAAUCAUGAACCAACGGUUGAAGGAAGCAUAAACAAGUACAUUCAUAAACAAUCAAGAGACAUAAGACACAAAAACAACACGUAGUUUCUAUACCAUGUUAGUGAUUAAAGAAUAUAUGCUUUUAAAAUUUAUUACCAUUUACCAAUAAAUAAAUAAAUAUAUAUAUAUACUUAUAUAUAUAUAUAUAUAUAUCCAGCUCUUCUCAUCGACUAACCAACUAGCAUUUAGAAAAACAUUACUUUCUUUAUCCACACAAACUAAACUACCUUCUAUUUUUUAUCAAGUAAAAGAGAAAGAUGAGUGUAAAAAUUUUGGAUGGUGACACCAUUGUCCACCUUCUUGAAGCUGAAGAAGCAUUUAAUAACUCAAUAGUUAACCAAUUUGUUAGAUUCUUCGUGUAUGACAAAAAACAAUGUUCAUCGAUGAUAACUUCGUCGAUUUCUGUUGAUUAAAUAUGCAAAAUAAAAGCCACAAAGUUACAUACCUUAUUAAGAGAUCGUUGAGUAAUGACUCCUUUAAAGAUAUCUCUAAUAACAUUCUAGAUAGGAUGGUCUCUUAUUCACCUCCAUUCUUUCGGAAGAACUGAAUGUUCGGGUGGAGUAUCUGGAAUUUGAUCUUGAGCCGACUCUUCUUCUUGAAUUUCACUUUGGCCUUGGUCCGGUUCUUAAUCAUUUUCCUACAGAUUUUUCUUUUCCAAGAUACAUGCACAAUCGACAACUUCUACUUCUAAUAGUUUAGUGUUAGAUUCAUCAAAGGUAACAUGAAUUGAUUCUUCGCUUGUCAGAGUUCUUUUGUUAAAUACUUUAAAAGUUUUGCUAGAAGUGGAAUAUCUUAUUAAUAAUGUCUUUAUCAUCUUUAGCGUCAAAAUUUAUGAGGUUAUCUUUUUUGUUGUUAAGGAUAAAGCAUUUGCAACCAAAAACAUGUAAGUGAGAGAUGAUCAGAUUUCUUCCUUUGUAUAAUUCAUAAUGAUUUCUCUUUAGAAUUUCUCUUAUCAAUACAUGAUUCAUAACAUAGCAAGCGGUGCUUACUGCAUUGGCCCAUACAUAUUUAGAAAGAUUGGUCUCAUUGAGCAUCACUCUUGCAAGUUCAUCUAGAGACUUAUUUUCCCUCUACACUACCCCAUUUACUGGGGAGUUCGUGGAGUAGAAAAGGUAUUAUGAAUACCAUUCUCAUUACAUAAUUUUUUGAAUUACCCAUUUUAGAAUUCUCCACCUUGGUCACUUCUGAUGGAUGCAAUGCUUACAGAAAAAAGGUUCAUGUGAAGCAGUUGCAAGGGUCGAUUAGUAGAAACUAUAUUUUUAGAUUUGAAAAGGCCCUUACUUAUUUCCCUUUUUGGCAUGCAUCGCAUAAUCUAUUAUUUUAAAAAUAUAAGUCAGGUAGACCUUCUACGAGAUCUUUGCGGACCAACUUGUUCAAGUGAUCUCUACGGAUGUGAGUUAUUCUCAUAUGCCAUAGCCAAGUUUCAUCCUCGUUAUUUAGGAGACAUACAUCACCUGAAGGAAUCUUAUUUAAAUUUAUUGUUUAGGUAUUUCCAUUUCUUGAGCUUGUAAAUAGAGUUUCAUUUGAUUUAGAUUUUAUGACCCUGCAACCAGAAGAGUCAAAUGUUGCAUUGUUACAUUUGUCACAUAAUUGGCUUAUGCUAAGUAAGUUAUGCUUAACCCAUUUCCCAAGAGAACUUUCUCAAUCGCUGGAUUAGGGGACGUACCAAUGGUGUCAACCCUUUGAAUUUUCACCUUAUUAUCAUCUCCAUAAGAGAGAAAUCCUCCUUAUUUAGGAAAGAAGGUGGUGAAUAAGGUUUUGUCACCUGUCAUAUGCUUUGAACAAUUGCUAUCAAGAUAUCAUUUUGUGUUUGAGACUGUAAAGCAUUCCUACAAAGAAAAUGUUAGGUCUUAACUUUAAGAAUCCAUAUCAUCUUGGAUCCUUGGUUGUUAGUUUCAUAAAACAUUUUUAUUUCUAUAGAUAUAGGAAUUUUUAUGUUUGGACAAAAUAAUUUAUUUGUGUUCAUAGUGAUUUUUGUAAAAAUCUGAAUGAGGGUGUCCUUCUUUACUUUCAUGACUUUUCUUAAUGAAAUAGAACAUAGUAAUGUGUUAUUCUUUAUUACGGUAGUUGCAUUUUAAGAUUUUACAAUGGCAUAUGGUUUUGGUCUUUCAUAUGUUUGCAAAGUUUUUACUAUUAUUAUUUGUUUCAUAGCCUAGGCCGGAUUUGUUGUAUGAGGUUCUUUGAUUUCAUAACAUAACAUUUAAGUUAUCUCUUCCUUUGAUAAACUCGACAAGUGUUUUUUGAAGAUCACAAAUUUCAUUUUUUUAAAUUGUCACACUUGUCAGGUUCAUCAUCUUCAUUUGAAGUGGAAGAAAUUUGAACUUAAUCAUUUUGUUUUAAACUAAGGAUUCCUAUCUCCUUUUCAACGGUUUUAUUUCUAAGCUCAAGAGAAGAGAUAAUAUCCUUAGAUGAAAAAAUAAUUUGUUCUAGUUUAUUUGUUUCUUUUGUUAGUUUCUUACAUAUUCUAAAGAAAUCAUGACAAGAGAAGUGAGGGGUUACCCCAUCAUCUUGAUGAUUUUCCAUAAGACAGAUGUUGGUUUUUUCUUCUUCUUUGUCGUUUGGGGAUUCCAUAUCAUUAUCCUCCCAUGUGACAUAAGCUUUCUUCUUUUUCUGAGAUUUUUUAAAUUUUUUAUUUACUUUCUUGAACAUGGGACAAUAUGGUUUGAUUUUUCCUUUCUUUCCAUAGUUGUAGCAUGUUGGAACAAAUGAUGCUCUUUCUUCAUUUUUUUCUUGCUCUUCCGUUUUCUUCUUCUCAUUCUUCAUGAAUCUCUUAAAGUUCUUCACUAUAAGAGACAUGUCACCAUCAUAAUCAUAUUCUUCAGCUUUGAAUGCUAUACUUUUAUUUAUUUUUAUGUUUCUUCAUCUAGGGUGAGCCUUUUGAGUUUUAUUUCAUGUUCCUCGAAUUUUCCAAAAAGAAUGUGUGUGUGUGUGUUUGUGUACAUAUUCGUUAAAUCCUUAAAUUCACAAAUGGGAGUGACUUUGUAUUUUCAACUAAGGUAUAAGCAUCUAAUAAUUUUUAUGAAUAAUCCCUCAUUUGAGAAUGUUUUUCUCAAAGUUCUCAUAUGAUUCACGAUAUGGGUAAAUCGUGUUUGUAUUUGACUUGUGCUCUCUUCAGAUUUCAUUAUGAAUAGUUCAUACUCAUGUCUUAAUGUGUCAAACAUUGUCAUCUUUACCUUAGUAGUUCCUUCAUGUGUGAUUUGGAGGAUGCCCCAUAUUUCUUUAGCAAUUUUGUCGUAAGAACGUAAAGAUUCAUCAAGACCGAGAGCGAUAGUGAUGAUAGUUUUUUUCUUUCAAACCGUGAUGCACAUUCUCUUUAUCAACCUUGGUCUAAUCCUUUUUCAGUUUUGUCUAAUACAACACUAUAAAAAUUACGUGUAGGAACAAAUUAACCUUCUUUCAUAGCCUUCCAAAUACCAUGAUCCAUCCCUUUUAUGAAAAUUUUCAUUCUUUCUUUGCAUAAACUAUACCCUUAUCCAUUGAAGGAUAUGGUUUGUUUAGGGAAUAACUUAAAGACAUGUUUCCUCCUGAGAUGAUUAUUCCUAAAUAGGAGUUAGGUUAUAAUUCCACUUGUUGGACAAGUAACUUCAAGCACAAGAGGGGGGUGAAAUGGUAUUCAAAACUUGCGAUUAUUGUAGUGGUUUUCUUAGUUACACUUAAAAUUUCAUUAGUAAUUUCUGAAAUAGUAAGCAACAACGGAAACAGUCAAAAUAAAUAGCAGAAAUUAAAGAGGAUAUGGUUAGAGAAAUUGCACUAGAGAGUUAUACAAGUUUGGCAGAACGUUGGCCUAGUCUUGUCCCCAAGAGAUCUUAUUGAGAGUUUGACUAUAAACUUUGAGCUUUUGAUGGUUAUACUCACAAACCUUUAUACAAUCCGAUCUUGAGAUUUUUAAAGAUUUAUCCCCAACCAAAUAUAGCUUUGACCACAGACUAAGCUAACAUACCUUCUUAGAGAUUUUCAAGCCGAUCUCAAUAAUCAAAACAUAACUUUUUUUGGCAAAGUUCUAGAAAUCAAGAACAUAGAUUUUAUGGAUGAUUUAUCUCAUGAACCAAACUCAAUCUAAGAGUAUCACACUCUUAAGGUUUAAACAAACAUCACGGCCACUUACAAAUUUUUCCUGACAAGGAAAGUUUCACUUGAAAGCAUUAUGGAAAUAUAAGUGAAAAGAAAUAUUUCUUAAAAAGUGAAGGAGAGAAAAUAGAGAAAUAAAUUCCAAAGAAAAUGUAAAGCUUUGGAAAGUGGCAUAAAAUGAAUAGGAGGUGAGCCUUCUUUAUAUAGGAGUUUGAAAAAUCAGAAAAGGAAAUAAUGCAUGAGCAUAAUUGAUGAUCCAAUUGAUUGGUAUAAUGUUCCAAUCAAUUGGAUUAAUCAUUUUUAAUUAAUUAUCUUGCCAACAUGGAAAUAUUUGACAGAGAGCCUUUAUGAGUCAUUAAUGUGUUGUCUUAAUCAUUUGGUUAAUCAUUUAGGCUCUUUCUAAUUAAUUGGCUUAAUGCUUCAAUUGAUUGGCAGACUCAAAAAAGUUUUCUCAAUCGAUUGGUUUGAGUCCCCAAUUGAUUGGUUAGUUAAACUAUACUUUUAAACGAUAGUGGAUAGCUUCUUAAUCACUUGACUUGGUUUUGAAAAUAUUUUAAAGAUGUAAAACGAUUUGAAAAAUUAUUUUAAGUGUGUGUGAGUUUCUUUAUAACUUAAGAGCUACUUUCUUACUUUUCCAAAUUUUGGCCACUCAGACAGAUACGACUUGGCAAGCUUUCACACCUUAUAUAAGGCUUAAAGAUUUUUUGUUGGAUGAAUCGAUUAUAUAAGCACUUCAAUCUUAAGUCUCUUUUCUUUAUAAGGUUUUGAGAUGUUUCGCUAGUUAGUUCACCAUCAUUAGAAUGCUGAGAGCUAUUACCACCGACUUCAAUAUCACAAUUGUUUACAUUGUCGUCAUCAAAACUCCAGAGAGUAUAUUUUGCAUAGUCCCUAACUUUAUACCUGCAAGCACAUAAGUCUACAGUAAUACCAAUCAAUCAUUCAUAAUCUUUUUGCAUAGUCUCAUACACUACACCGAAUAUAUUAUUCACGAAUACGGUGAACUGUAUUUUAUUAUAAAAAUAAAAUAAUUUUUUAUUUAAAUAAUAUAAAAAUUAUAUAUAUAUAUAUAUAUAUAUAUAUGGGUAUUGAUGUAAAAUUGUAUGAUUAACCAACUUUAUAAUUUUAUUAACCAACAUUUUAUAUAUCAUUAAUCAACUUUAUUUUAUUAUGAAAAAAUAUUUUUAAUAUCUGAGCGUUUAUUAACCAACUUCAUCAUUUAAUUAACCAACUUUUACUUUUCAUUAAUCAACUUUAUUUUACUACUAAAAAUUACGUAUAAUAUAUGAGUGUUUAUUAACCAACUUCAUCACUUCAUUAAUCAAUUUUUUACAUUUCACUAAACAACUUUGUUUUACUAUAAAAUGUCAUUGUUCAUGCAUCACGCACAUUAUUCACCUAACACUUUCAUGUGUUGUUCACAUCACUGUUCAUACAAUAUUCAUUGUUUAGGGUAUUAUUCACCAUAUUUUUGAACAUUGCAUUCAAUGUAGUAUAUGAUAUUGAUAAAAGCAUAAAUUGUUGUUUUUAAUACUAGCUUAAGUACAAGAGCAAGAGCAGUAGGACAUAUGACCUCUUCUUCUUCAAUAGUAUAAUGAUGCACAACAAAUUGAUUGAAGUUUGCAAGUUUUUUCUAUCCUUUUUUAAUGUAAACUAGUAGCAUAUAACUAUAAGUUAAUUAAAUAUUAUUAAAAUAUUAUUUAUUAAUUUAGACAAAUUAAGAAAAUUUGUAGACAUCAAUUAGAAAAUCUAAUAGAGAUUUGAUAAUUUAUUUCAAUUUCUUUUCUUUUUUAUAAAAAAAUACAAAAAUAUAUAAAAUGAUAUAUUAAAAUGUAAUUUGUUAAUUUACACAUUAAAAAAUGAGCAGUGUAAAUUAAAAAAAAAACUUAUGUUAAUUGAAAUGAAAAUUUUUACACCCCUGACAUUGGAUCCGGGUAAAAAUGUAAAUGGAAGCGGGGCAAAGAGAGGAGAUGCAUUUAUGUCUUCAAAUUUAGUUUCUAUUUAAGUUCUCAAUUUUUGCUUUUCAUGAGUUUGUUCCCAUCUCUGAAAUGCAUUUGAGGGAACUUUAUUCUUCAUCCCGUCUCCAUAAAUUUUUUUAAUUAUAUAUGAUUCUAGUGAAUUUUAAUUAUAUAUGAUUUUAGUACAUUUUAAUUAUACUAAUAUUCUAAUUGGUAUGUGUGACGACAUCCUUGAAGAUUUUGAGCAAGAUCCGUCAUUACAUUGAAUCAGGAGAGUUCAAAUUAGACUAAAUUGUAUUUUUGACUAUUGAGAUUAAAUUUCCUUAUGAGAUGAGGUUGAUUCUCAGCCCCUGCAAAACCUAUGGCAUUCAUGUUUAAAGUGUGGCGUGCCUGCCUGACAUCACUUAUUUUGUCAUAGUUUUUGUCUCUUCUUCGUUAAGGAGUUAUUAAGCAAUUUAUUCCUUACUCUAAUGGUUUUCCUUUCGAGCUAUGUAAGGUUCGUCAUACAUAUCUCUGCUAAUGUCCCUCUUGAAUAAACCGCUCUAAUUUCCUCUUUAAGUGGUGACAAUCAUCUAUAUGUCGUCCUCCGAUCUUGUGGUAUUUGCACCACUUAUUAGGUUCACCAUCCAUUACUUCCCCCUUUGGGCUUCGGGGCUCGAGAAUGACUCUUAUGUGAUAUACCUCUUGAAGGAUUUGUUCUCUUCGUGUGUUUCAUCGUAUAUAAUUAUCUAAGAGUAUGUCCUUAAAGCCGUUUUGGAAGGCUCCAACAAAUAUUUUAUGGUUUGAAGUGACGACCUUUAUAGGAUCCUCGAUAAACCUCUUCAAGCAGUGGAAACGACCUUUAUGUUGUGAUAAGAGUACCGAAAUGAAAGAGAAUAAACUAAGAAGAUCCACCAUAAACCAUAAUAAAUUUGAUUCAUUGAAUACUAACAUGGUUAAUAUCAUUUUACCCCUGACACAUAAGCGACUUCUUGAUUACCCCUGUAAAAAAAAUUGUUGAAAAACCAACCUUGCCACUUGAAGAUUCUUGUGGGGGUCUAACUGAGAAAAAAGCGUAUGUGGCGCGCUGAUAGAGCUUUUUUUUAUUCCAGUUAAAUUGACAUAACUUUAUUAUUUUUAUUUAGAAUUUUUAUUGCCAUGUGUAAUUUUAUUUCCUUUUUAAAGUAAUUUAAUUUAAUAUUAUUCUAAAAUAUUGUGUGGAGCUGUGUGUUAAACCCACCCCAAAGGUUGGGAGGCAAAAUUAUUAUCAGUGGUAGAGCUCUCAAUCUAGGGAGAUAAGACAUAACUUUUAAGGCUCAAAAAGUAUAGGACAUCCAAAAUUUAAAAAAUAAAUGAGCCACAAAAUAUGUAGGUCUCUUAAAUUAAAUGCCCUUAAAAUUUAAGUAGGACCUCAACGCCCCAACAUUUUCAAAAUUUAACUUUUUUAGAAAAAAAAUGAUAUAUAUUUUAAAAUUGACUUCUUUUUAUUUUAAAAAAUAGAUUUAUUUUUUCUAACAACAAUUGAAUUUUUAAUUUUUGAAAAAAAAAUCAGCUUUCUUUACAAAAAAAAUGACUCUUUUUUUGAAAAAAUUUAUUUAGGAAAAAUCGAGUUUUGUUUUUUAUUUACAGAAAAUUUGAGUUUUUUUUUCGAAAAAAUUGAUGUUUUUUAUUUUUCGGAAAAAACAAUUUUUUUUAUUUUUCGGAAAAAACAAUUUUUUUAUUUUAGAAAAAAUUGAUUUUUUUUAAAAACAACUUUUUUAUUUCGAAAAAAAUCAAAAAAAUUCUAAAAAAUCAACUUUUUUUAUUUGUCGGAAAAAAUUAAAUUUUUUAUUUUCAGAAAAAAUCAAUUUUUUAUUUAAAACAAAAUACACUUUUUUUUUUCGAAAAAAUUAACUUUCUUUUUAAUUUUCGAUAAAAGUUGACUUUUUUUAUUUUUGAAAAAAAAUGACUUUUUUAUAUUUUAUAUUGUAUAUACUAUUUUUUUAUUUUUGAAAAAAAACUACUUAUAUUUUAUUUUUUUAAAACGAUAUUUUUUAAGAAAAAUCAUUUUUUUUAUUUUGGAAUAAAUAGGCGUUUUUUCAUAUUCCAAAAAAAAAUCAACUGCUUUUUUAAAAAAAUAAUUUUUUUUGUUUUAGGAAAAACAUUAACUUUAUUAUUUAGUAAAAGUUUUGUUUUUUCUAAAUAUUUCUUUUAUUUUUCAGAAAAAAAAAUAUUUUUUAAAAUUAAUUAUCUAAUUAAAAAAAUAUAUUAUUUAAAAAUAACUAAAAAAAUUUAUUUCAAACCAAUUAUACUUUGAGCCUCUAGAAGGCAUAAAAACCAAAAAUAUGUGGUGGCUUGGGGGCAAAAAUAUUUAUUUAAUAGGGAGUCUUAAAAAAUGAUGCUAAAUAUGAGGCCUAAUUAUAGAAUCUUUUUAUACCAUUGGACACUAUACGUUUUUGCAUGUAUAUAGCUACACCAAUCAUCUGGGUUUGAAAUUUGGUCAUGGCAAAAAAUUUUUUUUUUUUUAAUUUUUACAUCUUUAAUAAUUUAAUAAUUGAAAAAUAAAAUAAUGUAAAUUUUAAAAUAAUAAUAAGUAAUAAAUAAAAAAUCCAUGUUAGAUAAAAAAAAUACCAAAGAACAUGAUACAUAGGCAAUUGGCUUCAAAGGCUCAAAAUAACAUGAUUUUAUAGGGUAAGGUUGUUUUUUUUUUAAAAUGCACAUGAAUAAAUCGAAAGUCAAAAUUUUUACUCAAAUAACCCAUUUUUCAAAAAAAAAACCAAAAUAAACUACUUUUUAGAUUAAUUUUCAAACUACCUCACUUUGAAGAGGUGGCGACAGAUGAAUUGGCGCAUACUCUCUAAGUUAAAGAGGUGGCGUCAAUUGGAUUGGUUUAUGCACAUGGUGCUGCCAAUCCAAUUGACGCUCAUAUGUAAAAAAGGAGAGGAGACGUAUUGGUCUGGCGCCUCUGUGUAUUGCGUGUUUUUUUUUGUAUAAAUAGAGGUGUUGUACGAUUCAUUUUUCCACAUCUCUUUUCAUUAUAUUGCAAACAUGGUCCGUCUUCGUCGCUGUUAUGGAAAAGUGAUUUAUUCGAGAGACAAAUCUCCGAUGGAGAUGCUCUUUGAGAACAUUUGUCGUUUCGAGCAACUACGGAGCGAGUUGGUUCGUUGGUUAGACGGAAACAUACCUGAAGGCGAAAAAAUUAGAAGUAUUAAGAGACUCGAUGACUUACGUGGAAGGAUGAACCAAAUUAUACAAGUUUGAUUGUUGUAAUCAGUUAGAAAUGUUGUUUUUAAAUAUUGUGGUUGUCGCGCAAAAAGUCAAUUGUUGAUCAAAAGUCAAUUAUUGUAUAAAAUGUCAAUUUUGUAGCCUUUGUACAUGUAUGGACUUUGAAUGUGAUUGUAUGAAAUGAUAUUUGAUAUUUGAUAUUUGAAUGCAUUGACUGUUUGAAAUGAAUUGUAUGGAUAUGAAAGAUAUUGAAAUGAAUGAACAUGAUAACAUGAAUCAAUGGAUACAAAAUUUGAAUGAAUCAAGGCCUAAGGACCAAAAUGGAUAAUGAUUAGGACCUAUCCAAUGAUUCAUUGACCAAACACCAAUUAAAAUGGCAUGGAAUAGACUAAGUGAUGAACUUGAUGAAUAUUUAAUCAUGGAUCAAUAGACAUGACCAUAACUUGGAUGACCAAUGCCAAGCAUGAAACAAAAACUCUAGCAAGGUCCAAGAUGUACAAUGAAUUGGGUCAUAAUCAAAGAUUGAUAGACCAAACAAUAAUGGCAAUGCAAAUGGCAUAAUGACAUUGGCCAGAUGAAAUAGGUUAGGCAUGGACUAGGCAUGAGGAUAUGAUUAGAGGAUAUGAUUAGAUGCAAUGCUAGGGAUGAAUUGAAUCAAGUGGAAGUUGUGAUGUUGUGAAAAUGGGCUUGAACCAAUGAACAUAGACAAGCAAAAGAUGAACAUGUAAGGCCAUGAAGUGAAUGCUAAACCGACCAAAGAAACCUCCAUAAUAGACCAUGAACAAUUGGGCCUUGAAUAGAUCUUGAUCAGACAAGUGAAGCAUACACAAUGGAUGAUACAACAACCAUAUGACUAUCAAACACCACAACAAUCAUUUCAACAUUUCCUCGACGCAUCAUUCCCGUCAAUGUCUUCCUUCAAUCCUCAUGGUCACCCUCCAAUAACUCAAACACAACCCAACUACUAUAGCAUGGGUCACGAACUCAGCUAUGGCGGUAGCGCUUCAUUGUAGGUGGUGGUGAUGUUGUUGGACCCUCAAAUCCUCAAACACCUGGGGUGAAUCAUCAACGUGGGUUAGGGUCACGCGUUUGAGUAGCUAGGGGAUGUGGUACCGGAGGUCGGUUAGGUCAUCCCGAUCAACAUUAGUUUUAUGGUCUUCGUAUGUAAAUGCAUAUUAAUAUUAAUAUCAAUUGGUUGGAUUUCGACUUUUAUAAAAAAUAUACAUUAUUUUUCAAAACAAAAUACACAACACACAUAGGUGUCAGAUCAAUGACGCCUCCUUUAAAACCUAGCACACAGACGUCAAUUGGAUUGGCAGCACUAAGUGCAUAAGUCAGUCCAAUUGGCGCCACCUCUUUAACUUAAAGAGCAUGCGCUAAUUCAUUUGACGUCACAUCUUCAAAGUGAGGUAAUUUGUGAAUUAAUCUGAAAAAAUGGAUUUUUUUGAAUUUUUUUUUAAAAUAGAUUAGUUGAGUAAAAAAAACUCGAAAAUCAUGAUAUUAACCCAUAAUAAUACAAUAAUCAGUGGAUAUCAUUGUUUAAGACUUUUAACACGUCUGGGACUUGUUCACUUAACAUACACUAGAAGGGCAUAGACUUCCAAGGUUGACUGACUUCGCCACUUGCAUGUCUUUUAUAUGUGCACUAACUUCAUUACAAGGUUAGUUUCCACCGUACAUAUUUGUACUUACAACUACAGGGAACAAUUCAACCAACGGUUUAGAAAAGCAUCCAAUGGAUUUUUGGUUUGACCAAUGAAUGAACAAAUACACUAAUUAAACAACACAUAUGUGUACUUACUAGGAACAAUUUAACCAACGGUUUAGAAAAGCAUCCAAUGCAAUAUCUAUUUGACCGAUGAAAAAACUAGACACAGAGAAGAACACAUGGUUUCAAUACCAUGUUAGUGGUUAAGGAAUAUAUGGAUGAAAGUCACCAUAACUUUUAAUAAAUUUUCACCACAUGAUCAAUUCAAUGGCUUCAUAUUAGUUUACUAUUUUUAUUUUAUUUUUUAAAAAAUUAAUUAAUUAAAUAUAUUUUUGAUUAAAUAAAAUCAAUUUUACUUAGACUCGUCACGAUUGCAAUCCACCCACCACCAUCCAGUCUUCUUGCCAUCACACUGGAUGUUGGUGCCGGACUGAACCGCUUCAGUGAAGUUCACCACCCAUCAAUUUUUUCUUCUUUUAUAUUCAUUGUGAGUUUGAAGUCUUAGAAUGAUUUAUAUGUGUGGUGUUUGGUUGAUUGACAAUGUUCUUCUUUUCAUUUAGAAUCUUGUGGUUGAUAUAAUAUAAAUGGUGUUUGGUUCAUUUUGACAUUGUGUUUUUACAAAAUCAAACCUAAUUUUUUUUUAUUUUUAACAUGUAUUUGAAAUAUGUUAGAGGUUCUUUAAUGUUUGGGCUCUUUAAUUUUUUUCAACUUAAUUGUCAAUAUUACUUUAAACAUCCAUAUCUCAUGCUUACUAAUAUUAAUUUUUUAAAAACUAUUUUUCAAAUUGUUUUAUUUAGAUAAUGACUUCUUUAAAUGAUGAUUGAAUGCCAAAAAUUGGUAUGGGAUUUGACAAUAUAGAACAAGCAAGUCAACUUUGACUUGCUUAUAGUGCACAUGUCAGUUUUGGAGUUAGAAAACGUUAUGCAAACAAGAAUAAAGACGACAUGAUAUCAUCAUGCAGGUUUGUUUGUUUUAGGAAGGAGUACGAAAGAGAAAGAAUAUAUAUGCUUUUGUUAGCACUCACCGAGCUGAGACUAGAACUGAUUGCAAAGUUAGAAUUUCACUUGUAUGUAAUAAUGAAAAAUUGGUCAUCCAUGAAUUUGUAGAGGAACAUAAUCAUUCUCUAUAAUCUCUUGAGACAACACACAUGCUUGAAAGUCAUAGAAAAAUAACAGAAGUACAAUCGUAUGAGAUUGAUUUGACUGAUGACUCCGGAUUAAGGCAGAAGUCAACAUUUCAACUUAUGAGCACGCAUGCAGGGCAUAGAGCUAAUAUAGGAUUUACACGAGUGGAUGUUAAAAAUUACAUCAAUGCAAGAAGACAAAGAAGUAUGGAGUAUGGUGAGGCUGGAUGUCUUUCACAGUAUUUCCAACGACAAUUAUUAGAGAAUCUGUCUUGCUUUCAUGCAUAUCAAAUGGAUAUAGAAGAACAAAUUACUAACGCGUUUUGGUGUGAUGCGAAUAUGAUUUUUUAUUACAGGUAUUUGGUGAUGUUGUGUCUUUGAACACUACAUAUUGUACUAAUCAUGCGAAUAGAUCACUUGCUCUAUUUUGUGGUUUCAAUCACUAUAGGGGUUCGAUAACUUUUGGUGCAGUCUUAUUGUAUGACUAGACAAUUGAGUCAUUUAAGUGGUUGUUUAAUACAUUUUUGCAAGCACAUAACAACAAGAAGCCAAAGACUAUAUUCACUGAUCAAGAUCAAGCAAUGGCCAAAGGACUUGCUGAAGUGAUGCCUGAGACUCACCAUGGCUUAUGCACUUGGCACUUAUUGCAAAAUGGAAUUAAACACCUUGGAAACCCGAUAAAGGGAGGAAGUUGUUUUUUAAGAUAUUUUAAAAAAUGCAUGUAUGAUAUUGACAUUGAAGCAGAUUUUGAAACAACUUGGACCAACUUGAUUAACGACUAUAAUGUUCAUGAAAAUAAUUGGAUCAAAUCAGUUUAUGCUAUAAAAAAGAAAGGGGUUUCAUGUUAUAUGAAGGAAACAUUAACACUUGGCAUGAGAAGUACUCAAAUCAGUGAAAGUUUGAAUGCUCACUUUAAAUCUUGUAUGAAAUCGAAUAUGGAUAUCCUACAAUUCUUUAAACAUUUUGAACGAGUUGUUGAAGAGAGGAAAUGAAUUGAGGUGUGAGUAUAGGUCCUCACAUAAGCUUACAAGGUUAAUAUAUGAGAUGUCACCAAUUCUAAUAAAAAUGGGAAAAGUAUAUACAUACACUGUAUUUGAGUUGUUUCAAAAGGAGUUUAGGCAAUUUUCAGCUUUAUCGAUAUCAGAGAGAAAUGAGUCUCACACUUUAUGUGAAUAUGUUAUUUCUAUGGAGAACCAAGAAAGAUAUUGGAGAGUGUCAUAUGAUCAUGCUUCAAUUUCCAUUACUUGUAAUUGUAGAAAAUUUGAGACAAUUGACAUACUUUGUUCACAUGCAUUGAAAGUGCUUGAAGUCAUGGUUUGAAAUUGCGGACCACAUCACUUGAUGCGGCCGCAAUAUUGCGGUUGCAACCUGCACAACAUCGGCAACAGACCGCAAUUGCGGUGUGAAUGGAAAUCACACGCAAAAACUGCAUCACUGCCGUAACUUUGCCGCAACAUAACGGUAAUUACCGCAUCAGAACUGUGUUUCUACCGCAAUAGACUGCAACACAUGAUUCUCAUACACAAUUCAAUUUUGAUUUAAAAACAAAACUAAAGAAUCAGAAUCUUUUAUGCAGGAAAUGAAUCUAAAAAGCAGGAAUAUUACCUUUAUGUCAAAUUUUCUUCUGCAUCAAGAUUCUAAAUACAAAAACUAAUUACUUUAUGUCAUUCUAUCUGCUCCAUUAAGAUUCCAAAUGCAAGAAGAAAUUUUUUUUUAUUGUAUUUGCUUCAAUAAUAUUACAUUCACUAAUUCAUACCUUCAAGACUUCAUGUUCAUCUUCUUCUCUCUUGGUUGCAUUUUGUGAAGCAGAACUGAAAAAACUCAUAUUUACUUCUCCAAUUUCAUCCAUUUUAAGGUCUGAACUUUGAAUUCUACUCCACUCUCUCACUUCACUCAUAUUCUUUGCAGUAGUUUGUUGUUGUAAUAGAUUUAUGGUAGAUUUCCUUUUAGUAUAUUCUUCACUCAAUUUCAUCCAUUGUAGUAGAUAUGUGGUGACUGGUUUUUUUCAUUUCUGUUACAAGAGUGUGAGACUGUGAGAGAGAAAUAGAAAAAAAUUACUUUAUCAUUGUUGUAUUGUAUGGGACACGGCAAAGUAUUGGUGGAGUGAGAGAGUGGGGUAGUAAACAUUAUCAUUGUGUUAUUUAUUUUAUUUUAUAAACUCUAUCACUUGUACUUUUUAUUUAUUAUUUAAAAUUUUAGCUAAACUUUUAGUGAAUGGGUGGGAGGGAGUUUAGAGAGGGAAACUAGAGAGAAUAAAUUUUAGUGAAUAAAUGAGAAGGAAUUUAUAGAGGGAAUAAAUUUUAUUAGUUAAAUUUUUAAAUUGUAUUAGUGAAUAAAUGGAAGAGAAUUUAUAAAGGGAAUAAAUUUUUUGUGAAUGAAUUUGAAUAAUUUUAAUUUUUUUAAGAAUUUAUAAUCUUGUGUCUUUUAGUUAAUUAUGUAACCAUUAAAAAAAGUUAAUUAUUAAAUUUUAUUCAUCCAAUACUUAAAAUAAAUAUUUUAUUUUUUUGACAAACACUUUUUGUUUAUUUAAAUUAAUUAACUAAAUUUUAAAGAGAAUAUUUUAUUUUAUUUAAAUUUUAUAUUUAUAACUAAUUAUUUAUAUAUCCAAUUAAUAGGUAUUAUUGAAUAAUGCCUCCGCGAGAACAAUUUCCUACAAAAGGUUUGGAUGGUGCUCCAAAUGAGGAUAUUGGAUGGUAUUUUAGAACAUCAAAACCCGAAAAUCGCAAUAAUGUUUGUUGCAAACUUUGUAAUGUAGUAAUAAAAGAUGGCAUUACAAGACUCAAGCAACAUAUAACACACAUGAAAGGACAAGUUGCGGCUUGUGGUAGAGUAACAACUAUGGUUAAAGAAAAUAUGAUACAACUUUUACUUAAUUCAAAAGCGAAAAGAAAUGAUUCUAAGAGAAGAAAAGAAGAAUUUGAAGAAUAUUUAAGAGGAGAUGAUGAAGAUGCAGACGAAGAUGUGAAUACUCUUAUUGAUGAUCAAUUGAAAUAUGCAACACAAGAAAGCCUUAGAUCACACAAAGAAUGGGAAAAUAUGCAGCAGUUCAUACGGGAAACAAGAGCUUCUGAAAAUUCAUAUGAACAUGGUGGAAGCUCUCGUGUCAGUGUUAGUGAGGCUGAAAGGCUGAAAGGCUAAAAGACAUCUCUUUUUCUUUGUGAUCUACUAAUAUUGAUCUUGUUAGGAGGCAAAGUAUGAAGCAACCAAGAGCUGGCAAAUGAUUUUUGAAGACUUGGAGAAAAAGACUUGGAGAGGUUGUAAGUAAAUUUAUAAUUUACGAGUGUUUGCCUAUGAAUUUAUCUAACUCUCCUUGGUUGCAUAAUUUGAUUUAUACUACUUCUGAAGUGGGAAAAGCCAAAUGCCCAACUCCUUAUGAAAUCUCAAAUGUUUACUUAAAAGCUGAAUAUAAGGAAAUGUUAGAGUGGAUAAAUAGUAUGAAAAUAACUUGGCAAGAAAGACAAACAACAAUAAUGUGUGAUGGUUGGACAGACAGUAUCAACCAUACUCAUAUUAUGAAUUUCUUGGUAUAUUGUCAUAAAGGUACUGUAUUUUGGAAAUUUGUUGAUGCUUCUGAUGUUGAUAGUAGAAACACUGACUACUACUUUCAAUUAUUGGAUAAAGUUAUGGAAGAAGUGGGUGAAGAGUAUGUAGUUCAAGUGGUAACAGACAAUGAAGUCACAUUAAAAGCAGUUGGUCAAAAGCUUAUGGAGAAGAGGCCACAUUUAUACUUGUCUUCUUGUGCAACUCAUUGUUUAGAUCUUUGUUUGGAGGAUAUAGGAAAAAAUAAAAGCAUACAUAAUUUAUUAAGUGAAGCAAAAAUGGUGACAACCUUCAUCUAUAACCACACAUAUAUUGUGAGUCUCAUGAAAAAAUAUACAGGUGGUAGAGAUAUUGUUCGUCCUGGUGUUACCCUUUGUGAGUCUCAUGAAAAAAUAUACAGGUGGUAGAGAUAUUGUUCGUCCUGGUGUUACCCGAUUUACAACACAAUUUCUACAACUUCAAGCAAUUGUGAGACAAAAGGAAGGUCUUGAAAACAUGUUCAAUUCCGAAGAAUUUACAAAAACAAAAUAUGGUAAAGAAAAGAAAGGACCGGGAUAUGAAGCAAGGAAAAUUGUUAUGAGUAGGGACUUUUGGAGUAAGGCUAAUGAUAUAAUGAAAGUAUUUGAGAAAAUUGUAAAAGUUUUUAGACUAGUUGAUGGUCAUGAGAAACCAACAAUGAGUUUCAUAUAUGAAGCCAUUGAUCGGGAAAAACAAGCAAUUCAACAAAAUUCUCGUUAUCAUUCCAAAUAUAAUGAUAUCAUUGAGAAGCGUUGGAAAUUCAUGCAUUCUGAUCUUCAUUCUGCUGGUAUGUGGAUAUAUUCUAUAAUUUUAAUUUUGUCAUGAAAUUUAAAUUUAUAAAUCAUAUCCGUAAUAACGGAUUUUCACUUCAAGGUUAUUUUCUUAAUCCAUAAUUUCAAUAUGGAAUUGAACAUGGAAAAGUUGUAAAGAAACAUUUAAUGGAACAACUAAUGUAAUCAUGAAGAUAGAAAGAAACAUGGAUGAUCAAAUCAAAGCUUUAAACCAAGUAAGUAAUGGAUAUUAUAUUUUCAUUUGAUAAAUUAUUUAUUAAGAAAUUUGUUUAUGUACUUAUAUGUUUUGUUAUAUUACCUAGUUAACACUUUUUAGAGAAAAGAGUGAAACUUUUGGUACACCUCUAGCUCAAAAAUCUUGGUUUAAAAUAGAUGCAUGUAAAAUAAUUUUUUUUUUAUAAUUUUUUAUAAAUAUAAUUUAUUUUUUUAAUAUAAUAAAUAAUGUUCUUUUUUUCUUCUUUGAAAAGCCCAAUGGUGGGAAUACCAUGGUUCGUGUGCUCCUGAACUUCAACGUUUGGCUAUGAAAGUUGUUAGUCAAACAACCUCUGCCACAAACUGUGAGAGAAAUUGGAGUACAUUUAGCUAUAUCCCCGUAUUACAAUAUGAAGUUGAGAAUGAGGGAUAAAUUAAGGAAGAUUCAGGAAAAGAUAGAAGCAAAUUUUGAUCCGAUAAAUCUUGACUAUAUAUUUCAAGAAGAUUCGUUAUCUCAUUGGAUAAAAGAGAGGGAAAAUCCAUUAUUGAAUGGAGUUCAAAAUACAUAAUAGUUGCCGAUUGUUGAUACAGAUGAUGAAAAUGUUGAUGAUAAUAGUGAAACUAAUGAAAGUGGUGGUGGUUUAAGUCCACCAAGCAGUAAUAGUGGUGAUGGGGGUGGUAAUGAAGUGGAUAAUGGACGUGAAGGUGGUGAUGAUGAAGGAGAAGAUGAUGAACUUGAUCCAUAUCAUGAAACACCACCAAAUUAUAGGCGUUAUAGGAACUUGACUGAUAUGGAUCGUUCUGACAACUUGUUAAUUGAGACAAGAGGAAAUGUGUCACAAUCUGGAAGAAAGAGGAAAAGGAAACAAAAUGUUCCACUUGAAGAUUCUUCCUCUUCUAGUAUUGCUCCUAGUUUUAGUGAUUUUGGGAUUGAUGAUUCAUCACAAAGUAGUCAACAAUCUUAUCCACCUGUUUAUCAAUAUUCAUAUUUCAACUCUUAUAACCAAUAUCCUAGUGAUCAAGCUCAUCCGUACUACCAACAAUCAACGAAUUAUCACAAUCCUUAUCAUCAACAAUCAAGUGGUGAUUUUUUUUUGUUAUGUCUUUGCACAAGGAGCUACACAAGAUGAUAGUCAGAGUGAAAAUAAAAGUUAUGCUCCUUCACGUCAUUCCACUAUGUGGUAGAAAGAGACAUGUAAGUUAUAUUUUAAAACAUUUGAACUUAUAUUUAGUUAACUCUAUGUGUGAAAAGUCUUAAUAUUAUAUGCAAUUUUAAGAUACUAAUUAGGAGUUUCAUCAUUUUUUUUUUUGCAGUGGACAUCUUUAUGUGACAAAAUGAUGUUGUUUUUCACCAUCAAGAUUGCAAUAUAUGACAUUAAUAUAUUUUUGUCUAUAGUCCUUUUUAUUUUAAAUAAAUUGUAACUUAUAUUAUGUGCUUAUGUUUGAUUAAACUUACAAUAUUAUUUAUGAUAAUGUUUGUUUCAUUAGAAUUCAACUUAAAUUAUACAUAAAUUUGAUACAAUAUUUUAAAAGUGAAUUAAAAUUAAUACACAAUAAUAAAUAGAAGAAACAUAAAUAAUUACAAUAAUUUUAUAAUUUCACGUUGCAAUGUGCAACGCAGUGACAACAUUGGCCGCAAUCGCAACCAUAUUUGCAGCCGCAACCAUAAUUUAAAACCAUGCUUGAAGCGAAUGAUGUUAAGUGCAUUCCUCAUGAGUAUAUUUUAAGGAUGUGGACAAGACAUGCUCGGUAAGGCAUCGUGCAAAAUUCUAGGGGAAAAGAGGUUGAAGUCGAUCCAAAAUUGUCUAGGAGAUGAAUGUUCAGACAUGUUGUUUCUAAAUUCAUAAAGGUGGCAACAUCAUGUGAAGAAGGGGACCUCAAGAUUGUUGAUGAUAAUGUGGAUCUCAUGCAUAGGAAAAUAAUUGAACGUCUGUCACAAGACAAAGAAAAUCAUAGCCAUGAUAACCCGACAUUUCCAAGUUCUAAUGUUAUUCUACCAAAGAGAUUCAAGAAACGUACUCUCUUAAAGGGGAAAUUACAAAAGCGACAUAAAAGUUGGGUAGAGAAGCAAUCUAUUGCAAAAAAAAAGAAGCUCCAACUAAAAGGUAAUCAUGUAGUCAAGCCUCUCAGGUAUACAAUUUGACAUGUAAAUCGUUUAUUUUAAUUUUACAUGUAUUAUGACAAUGCAUGAAAUAACUAUUAAUUUUAUAUGAUUAUUUUAGGAUAAAGAACUAACAAGUCAUAUGGCCGAGGAAGUAUCAUGUUCGACACCUCCAGCUUAUGAGCUCCGACAAACACAAGAUGUCCAAUUUAAUUUUACAACGCUUUUGAUGGUAAUAUAACUUUCAUUUGAAAAAAUAAAUAUCCUUAAAUUUAACUUAUCAUGAUGUUAAUUAGUGUUUUUUUAAAUUUAACUUAGUUAAUAGAUCAUUAAGUUGUAUUUUUUUUGUAUAUUAUGACACUGUUAUGAACUUUUAUUACACUGAUCGAAGUAUAUUUUGGUAUGUAUAAAAUCUAUAGAAAAUUGUUAUGACAAUACAUAAAAGUAGGGGUGGCAAAACGGGUCUGGUCCGUUGGGCAUGUCCGUUUUUCCCGCACUUUAGGCCUUCACCCUCUAAUUUGUUCGCCCCGCCCCGCCAUGUUUUUUUCGCGGACUUUUGAGGGAACACACAUUUAGAUAAGUUUUUGUGUUUUUAGGUUUCAGGCCCGCAUCCUCAACUAUGUUCGUCCUGCCCCAUAUUUUUGCAGGCUUUUGCGGGACGGGCCUAAAUGGGACGGGCAUGUUCAUUUUCCACCCCUACAUAAAAGUAUAUUUUGGUAUCUAUAAAAACUUAUAGGAAAUUGUUAUGACAAUGCAUGAAAUUAAUAUGUAAAAGAUUAUUGAAGUUGGAUAUGUAAAGAAUGUCAAUAUAUAAAGUAAAUUUUUAUUAUAGUGCAGGAAAUCUUAUGAGUAUGCUUCUCAUUGGUAUUAAUUGAAUGCUUUUUAUGAAAGUGAAAUUUUAUUACAGUGCAGGAAAUUACAUUUUGUGGGUUAAUGGGAAUACUACUUUCAUUCAUAUUGUUUUAUUUCUUGUUCAGGCGGUAUAUACUACCUUCAUUCAUAAUGCUUAUGUUUAAAUUGAUACUGGAAAUGACAUUUACUUGCAAUAAUUGCCUUAAAUUGUAAUACUCGUAGGAAAUUGUAAUGAAGCAAAUUAUCUUAUUUCAUUAUAUCCAAAAAUGUUACAAAAUGACAAUACAUGAAAUAUUAUAAAUGACAGUGCAGAAAAUGUUACACAAUCACACUGAUAAAAAAUAAUGCUACAAGAGAUGUACAAUUCAUCAUGUCCUCUAACUAAAUUACACAUGUCCUAUUAUUCUAUAAUUCUAAUAAUCUAACUUUGCAGAGUUAUUUUGAUGUAUUUUUUGCAUUUAUUAUGAACAUCCUUGUAGAAAGUUGUUUUCUUAACCAAUGCUGAAAGUUGCUUUUAAUAUCCUUGCAGAGUUGUGAAGACAUGUGCUUAGAAGCUUUUUUAAAAACAAUAACACAUCAGAUAAUGUAAGUUCAAUAUUCACUUUUCACGUGCUCACCAGCUUCAUCAAAACAAUACAACAUAAAAAACAAAUUGUAUAAAAAACAACAACACAACACUAAUUUUAAAAAGGAGAACCAUUUAGAAGUCAAAAACAAAUAUUUAUACACAAUCCACUUAGCAGCAACAAAAUAACACAUAUAAAAAAAUGGCAUGAUCAGUGGACAAAUCUUGCAAUUAAGAAAUUAUCAUGAAUUUAGACCCACCAGCAUGGCAGCAACAACAUGCACGUUCGAAUGACCUUGAAAUUAACUUCAUUGUUGGUGGCGGCGAAAAGAAAGGGCGAUGACAACGACGAGUACGAGCAUGUUGGUGGUGAAGAUAAGAGACGGGACGGUGUCGGCGAACAUAAUGGUGGCGGCGAGAUGAAACCAUUCAAUGUUUCUAUUUUAUGGUGGCGACGACGAAAAGAAUGGAUCGGUCUUCCCCUUCCAUGUUUCCAUUUGACCCGAAACAAAACAAAACAAAAUAUAUGUUUUUAUACGAAAAAGAAAAAACCGUGUGGCUUUUAUGUGAAACGUUAGAUUGAUCGAAUGGUGGAUGUUGGAUGAAAGUUACGGUAACUUUCCCGGACUAAAGUCAAUGAAUAUAUGCUUUUAAGACUUGUUACCAUUUAGUAAUGGAUAUAUAUAUACAUAUAUAUAUAUAUAUAUAUAUAUAUAAUAUCAUAUAUAUAUAUAUAAAAUUUAUAAUUUAUAUAUAUAUAAUAUAUAUAUAUAUAUAUAUGGAAUUUUCCAAUGCUUCUCAUCAACCAACCAACUAUCAUUUUCAAAAGCAUUACUAUCUUUGUCCAUGCUAACAAAAAUUAAUUUCUAGUUUGUAUCAAUUAAAAUAGAAAGAUGAGUAUAGAAAAUUUAGAUGGUGUUACCAGUAUCCACUUCCUUGAUCGACUCAACACAAACAAUGACGGUCUUCUCUCUUAUGAUGAGAUGUUGAAGGAGC
This 29849-nucleotide long non-coding RNA is filed under the name Lathyrus oleraceus (garden pea). RNAcentral describes it as "Pisum sativum (pea) long non-coding RNA (PSAT_LNC012366)". Lineage: Eukaryota; Viridiplantae; Streptophyta; Magnoliopsida; Fabales; Fabaceae. The record is from RNAcentral.